UGACGGGAUCGAUAGAUAAGGUAGGGAUUGACAAUGUGAGAACUCGUGAAGGAUGCGGACAAUAUUUCAGGUAAUCUAAGCUUAAUGAGUAGAUCAUAUCAGAUAAAGUGACAUAAUUUUGGCGACAUUAUAUGACGACGUGCUUACUUCAUCUGAUAAAGAUUUUACCACUCAUCAAAGUUCAUAUUUUUACAGUUGGGAG
RNAcentral lists this long non-coding RNA (202 nucleotides) under Actinidia chinensis (golden kiwifruit). Its description in RNAcentral is "long non-coding RNA (ACHI_LNC000453)". Lineage: Eukaryota; Viridiplantae; Streptophyta; Magnoliopsida; Ericales; Actinidiaceae. The record is from RNAcentral.